CCCAUCUCGUCCUCGUCCAGC
Molecule: microRNA, 21 nt
Filed under: Human betaherpesvirus 5
Lineage: Duplodnaviria; Heunggongvirae; Peploviricota; Herviviricetes; Herpesvirales; Orthoherpesviridae
Description: hcmv-miR-UL70-5p
Source: RNAcentral